Molecule: long non-coding RNA, 603 nt
Organism: Thalassophryne amazonica
Lineage: Eukaryota; Metazoa; Chordata; Actinopteri; Batrachoidiformes; Batrachoididae
Exons: 3
Source: RefSeq, a predicted model, not a curated record
UCAGCACAGAACUUCUUGGAUUAUUUCGAGAAGAAAAUAGAACACGUUAGGUUGAGCAUAUCCCAGCAAGCCUUGGUCCAACCAUUUCACCCUGCUAUGAAGGUGGGUGCUACAAUACCACUGAGGUCCUAACUAGAUUUACAGAAUUUGAUAGUAUCUCAUUAGGCGUGCUGACGAACCGCAUGACGUCUUUAAAAAGCACAACCUGCUUGUUUGAUCCCAUACCAACAAAACUGUUUAUUGACCUGAGGGCCACUCUUGGGCCGACUAUGCUGGAAAUGGAUAAUCUCACACUAACUUCUGAAUCUGUUCCUAAAUGUGUCAAAUCUGCAGUGAUUAAACCAUAGUUUAAGAAAUCUAAUCUUGACCCAAGUGUAUUGCAAAAUUAUAGGCCUUUAUCAAAUCUACCAUUUUGCUCUAAAAUUCUGGAAAAAGUGGUUUUGUGGCCGUUCGUGGACCACCUUACUGAGAAUAAUCUUUUUGAGCCAUUGCAGUCUGCUUUUAGAAAAUAUCACUCCACAGAGAUAGCUCUCAUUAAAGUAGUGAAUUACCUUCUGCGAGCAAUGAACUCGGACACCACUACAGUUCUGUGGGAUGUCCAUG